RNAcentral lists this non-coding RNA (246 nucleotides) under Lacrimispora celerecrescens. RNAcentral's name for it is "Clostridium celerecrescens T-box sequence". It matches the Rfam family "T-box leader". Rfam says of the family: Uncharged tRNA acts as the effector for transcription antitermination of genes in the T-box leader family. T-boxes are found upstream of many aminoacyl-tRNA synthetase genes and some amino acid biosynthetic genes usually in Gram-positive bacteria. The anticodon of a specific tRNA base pairs to a specifier sequence within the T-box motif, and the NCCA acceptor tail of the tRNA base pairs to a conserved bulge in the T-box antiterminator hairpin. Lineage: Bacteria; Bacillati; Bacillota; Clostridia; Lachnospirales; Lachnospiraceae. The record is from RNAcentral.
UCAAAUGCAAUGAAGGUGUAAGUAAAUCCUUAUUUUCUUCCAGAGAGAAGGGGCCAUCGGCUGUAAGCCCUUUUAAGUUCAGAUAAGAGAUUGAAUUUCCCACCGAAGCAGCAUGAUUGAAACCAGUGACAGCUAUGGCUGCCGGUCUGGCGGGUAAGUCAUGACGUCAAUACACGUUACGUAUACCGAGUGCCUGUGCAUGCAUAGGAAUCAGGGUGGUACCGCGAAUAUAGCUUCGUCCCUUUU